CCUACGGGUGGCUGCAGUGGGGAAUAUUGGACAAUGGGCGAAAGCCUGAUCCAGCCAUGCCGCGUGUGUGAAGAAGGCCUUCGGGUUGUAAAGCACUUUCAGUGGGGAAGAAAGCCUUGGGGCUAAUACCCUCGAGGAAGGACAUCACCCACAGAAGAAGCACCGGCUAACUCCGUGCCAGCAGCCGCGGUAAUACGGAGGGUGCGAGCGUUAAUCGGAAUUACUGGGCGUAAAGCGCGCGUAGGGGGUCUGAUAAGCCGGUUGUGAAAGCCCCGGGCUCAACCUGGGAACGGCAUCCGGAACUGUCAGGCUAGAGUGCAGGAGAGGAAGGUAGAAUUCCCGGUGUAGCGGUGAAAUGCGUAGAGAUCGGGAGGAAUACCAGUGGCGAAGGCGGCCUUCUGGACUGACACUGACGCUGAGGUGCGAAAGCGUGGGUAGCAAACAGGAUUAGAUACCCUGGUAGUC
This 465-nucleotide ribosomal RNA is filed under the name Vreelandella stevensii. RNAcentral's name for it is "partial 16S ribosomal RNA". It matches the Rfam family "Bacterial small subunit ribosomal RNA", at positions 338 to 795 of the family's 1533-position model. The record is from RNAcentral. Lineage: Bacteria; Pseudomonadati; Pseudomonadota; Gammaproteobacteria; Oceanospirillales; Halomonadaceae.